CAGUCUUACUUCAAGAGCUGCAUCCUCAAUAAUUGGCACCUCACUGGACAGGACCCCAUAGCAUCAUACUUACUACCCACGGUGGCCAAGCUUUUGGGCCACUUCCCCUGGUACCAUGUCUCCCGCUUUAAAAAAGCACCUGUUCCAAAUGUCCAGUUCAGGACUUCCACCAUGCUGGGGACCACCAAACUCAAGAUUUCUCGCCAACCCUCUUCUUCUUUUACUAAUCAUUAAUCUCUCUCAAGUUUCUAUUCCAACCCACAGAUGGCACUUCUACAUCCAAGCGACAUGGCAACAGGAUGGCACCACCCAC
This 313-nucleotide long non-coding RNA is filed under the name Marmota monax (woodchuck). Lineage: Eukaryota; Metazoa; Chordata; Mammalia; Rodentia; Sciuridae. The record is from RNAcentral.